UGAGUACGAGAUGCUACGGCAUCGAAGCAGUCUAUGUCAUACUUCCAAGAAAAGCUUGCACUGUCAUAAACAAAGAAUGCCUGUACCAUAACCGACACAGGUGGGUAGGUAGAGUAUACUAAGGGGCGCGAGAUAACUCUCUCUAAGGAACUCGGCAAAAUGACUCCGUAACUUCGGGAGAAGGAGUGCCUUAUUUCUAAGGUUGCAAUAACAAGAUCCAAGCAACUGUUUACCAAAAACACAGGUCUCCGCUAAGUCGUAAGACGAUGUAUGGGGGCUGACGCCUGCCCAGUGCCAGAAGGUUAAAGAAGUUGGUUAGCAUUAGCGAAGCUGAUAACUGAAGCCCUGGUGAACGGCGGCCGUAACUAUAACGGUCCUAAGGUAGCGAAAUUCCUUGUCGGGUAAGUUCCGACCCGCACGAAAGGCGUAAUGAUUUGGAUACUGUCUCGGAGAGGGGCUCGGUGAAAUAGACUUGUCUGUGAAGAUGCGGACUACCUGCACCUGGACAGAAAGACCCUAUGAAGCUUUACUGUAACUUGAGAUUGAAAUUGGACUUUAUUUGCGCAGUAUAGGUGGGAGGCGUUGAGAAUAAUCUUGCGGGAUUGUUGGAGCCAUCAGUGAGAUACCACUCUUGUAAUGUUAGAUUUCUAACUUUGUAUCAUUAUCUGGUCAAAGAACAGUUUCAGGCGGGCAGUUUGACUGGGGCGGUCGCCUCCCAAAGGGUAACGGAGGCGCACAAAGGUUUCCUCUGAACGGGUAGAAAUCGUAUCUAGAGUGUAAAGGCAUAAGGAAGCUUGACUGUGAGACCUACAAGUCGAGCAGGGACGAAAGUCGGUCUUAGUGAUCUGACGGUGCUGAGUGGAAAGGCCGUCACUCAACGGAUAAAGUUACUCUAGGAUAACAGGCUGAUCUCCCCCAAGAGUUCACAUCGACGGGGAGGUUUGGCACCUCGAUGUCGGCUCAUCGCAUCCUGGGGCGGUAGUCCGUCCCAAGGGUUGGGCUGUUCGCCCAUGAAAGCGGUACGCGAGCUGGGUUCAGAACGUCGUGAGACAGUUCGGUCCAUAUCCGGUGUAGGCGUUAGAAUAUUGAGAGGAGCCUUCUCUAGUACGAGAGGACCGAGAAGGACAUACCUCUGGUGUACCAGUUAUCGUGCCAACGGUAAACGCUGGGUAGCUAUGUAUGGAGUGGAUAACCGCUGAAAGCAUCUAAGUGGGAAGCCCACCUCAAGAUAAGUA
RNAcentral lists this ribosomal RNA (1235 nucleotides) under metagenome. RNAcentral describes it as "bacterial LSU rRNA". It matches the Rfam family "Bacterial large subunit ribosomal RNA", at positions 1564 to 2810 of the family's 2925-position model. The record is from RNAcentral.